This 500-nucleotide ribosomal RNA is filed under the name uncultured bacterium. Its description in RNAcentral is "partial 16S ribosomal RNA". It matches the Rfam family "Bacterial small subunit ribosomal RNA", at positions 29 to 523 of the family's 1533-position model. The record is from RNAcentral.
AUUGAACGCUGGCGGCAUGCCUUACACAUGCAAGUCGAACGGCAGAACGGGGGCAACCCUGGUGGCGAGUGGCGAACGGGUGAGUAAUGCAUCGCACCCUGUCCUCUUGUGGGGGAUAACCAGUCGAAAGAUUGCCUAAUACCGCAGUAGAUCGCAAGAUGAAAGCGGGGGACCGCAAGGCCCCGCGCGAGCGGAGCGGCCCAUGCCGGAGUAGCUAGGUGGUGGGGUAACGGCCUACCAAGGCGACGAUCCGUAGUUGGUCUGAGAGGACGACCAGCCACACUGGGACUGAGAAACGGCCCAGACUCCUACGGGAGGCAGCAGUGGGGAAUUUUGGACAAUGGGCGCAAGCCUGAUCCAGCCAUGCCGCGUGUGUGAAGAAGGCCUUCGGGUUGUAAAGCACUUUCGGACGGAACGAAAUCGCGCGGACGAACAUUCCGCGUGGAUGACGGUACCGUAAGAAGAAGCACCGGCUAACUACGUGCCAGCCGCCGCGGUAA